UACGUAGGGGUCUAGCGUUGUCCGGAUUUAUUGGGCGUAAAGAGCUCGUAGGCGGUUUGUCGCGUCUGCUGUGAAAACUCGGGGCUUAACCCCGGGCCUGCAGUGGGUACGGGCAGACUAGAGUGCGGUAGGGGAGACUGGAAUUCCUGGUGUAGCGGUGAAAUGCGCAGAUAUCAGGAGGAACACCGGUGGCGAAGGCGGGUCUCUGGGCCGUAACUGACGCUGAGGAGCGAAAGCGUGGGGAGCGAACAGG
This 253-nucleotide ribosomal RNA is filed under the name uncultured bacterium. RNAcentral's name for it is "partial 16S ribosomal RNA". It matches the Rfam family "Bacterial small subunit ribosomal RNA", at positions 524 to 776 of the family's 1533-position model. The record is from RNAcentral.